UGGAUUAAUGGGAGCUAUGAGAACGACACC
This 30-nucleotide non-coding RNA is filed under the name Mus musculus (house mouse). The record is from RNAcentral. Lineage: Eukaryota; Metazoa; Chordata; Mammalia; Rodentia; Muridae.